CUGUCGGAAAUAAGAGUUUCAAAGAGCUUUGAGUUUGGUUUGGUUUGGUUUGGUUUGGUUUGGUUGGAUGGAUGCUGCUCUUUGGGUUGUCCCUGUUCAGGAACAUGUGGGCUCUCUGUCUGGAAACAAAAGUAAACUGGAACAGCAUUAAUUAAUUGCACUGACAUUACAGCUAUAUAUACACACAUGAUAUAUGAUGUUCUUCUCUCUUGCUCUUCCUUUUCUUAUUCUUGUGUCUUCACCUUCACUUCCAUUCCGC
This 259-nucleotide long non-coding RNA is filed under the name Gossypium raimondii (Peruvian cotton). RNAcentral describes it as "long non-coding RNA (GRAI_LNC007076)". Lineage: Eukaryota; Viridiplantae; Streptophyta; Magnoliopsida; Malvales; Malvaceae. The record is from RNAcentral.